AUGGAUGAAAAGUGGAAGCUAUCAAAGAAGGAAAAAAGUUCAACCUCAUCAACAAAAUCAUCAAUAUUCUCAAGAAGCUGUUCAACAAGAGGCUCUAGUUCAAAGUCACCACUACUUUCAAAGAGCUUAUCACAAAAGUGUUCUUCUACAUCGAAUAACAACAACAAUGAUAAUCUUUCUAGAAGCUACUCACAGAAGAGUCCAUCCAUAGGUAAGAAAUGUACCAAUAUAGCUAAAGAACAGAAAGCAAGAUUUUACAUCAUGAGGAGAUGUGUAGCUAUGUUAGUUUGUUGGCACAAACAUGGAGAUAAAUAG
Vicia faba (fava bean) is the source of this 315-nucleotide non-coding RNA. NCBI's taxonomy places the organism in Eukaryota, Viridiplantae, Streptophyta, Magnoliopsida, Fabales, Fabaceae. The record is from the annotation of a GenBank genome assembly.